AUCCAGAUGACGAGUCUUAAACAGGACGAAAUGUGCAUUUUUCUGGAU
Molecule: non-coding RNA, 48 nt
Filed under: Trichobilharzia regenti
Lineage: Eukaryota; Metazoa; Platyhelminthes; Trematoda; Strigeidida; Schistosomatidae
Source: RNAcentral